Long non-coding RNA from Sander lucioperca (pikeperch), 1114 nucleotides. RefSeq lists it as uncharacterized. The transcript is spliced from 3 exons. NCBI's taxonomy places the organism in Eukaryota, Metazoa, Chordata, Actinopteri, Perciformes, Percidae. The record is from RefSeq and is a predicted model, not a curated record.
AGGAGAGAUACAGUCGGAGAGAGAGAGAGACGCUAAGUGAACGAGCUUCGUGAGUUUCAGUAGGUUGUAGAAGGACAUUAUUGUUAUCCAUUACUGAGGCUGACAACCAGUUAUACUUUGUUUUGGAGUAUUGAAAUCUACAAGAGGAGACGGACAUUUGUGACUGUGAAAGAGAGAGCAUCGGGGAAGCUCCUUGGGACCACACAGAGCGAUUUUCCAUCCUGCUGGUGUGAUGUAGACUGUCGCUGCUGUUUUCUGUUCCGGUGAUCUUCCUGCUGUGGUUUCUCCGGUGCUCUGCCUGCUGCCAUCGCCAAGUUCGCCUUUUUCAUAUAUCCCCUUGGCUAGGAUUCUGACUCCCCUCAUCCGCUCCAUCUACAACUUCCUGUAAGGGAGAUCACAUUCUCCGAAACAGUGCUGAUCCAGUUCCACUUUUCCCGAGGAGGCUGCGGUGUCAUCCAUUGUUUUGAAAGGUGUCACUUGAUUGUCAGCUCUCCAUCGCAGCCCUGCAUGGCAGUCAAGAAAAGAACCUCCUGAACCAUUCCUGCUUAACUCACCUCCACUGGACCUUGCAUAUUGUUUUCCAUCUCAACAUCAAACAUAUUGAACGAUACUCUAAAAUUUAUAUAUAAAUCGCCCAGUCCUACGUCAGCCCAAACUUACUUUUCCUGACACAUUUAACAUUAACUUGUACAUAAUUCAUCCCCAUACACUGGAGUAUGUCAUGAGUACAGAUGCCCAUCAAUACACUGUUGCAGAAUAGGUGAAUGACACCAACAUAUGGCACUUGAAGAAAAACUAAUGUCCAGUAUGUGAUAACAGGACAUGCUAGUCAUCAAUUAUCAACAGUGUAGCAAGUUGUUCGUUAAGGGCUAACAGCUGGUUAACAUUACGACAAAAACUAUUUGUUCCGCGUAUUCUCUUGUGUGUAUCGCGUAUCCGUCUCCUCUAGCUGUUGUGGUUGAUAUGACGUAGGUCCUCUAGCUUUGACCAGACGCAAAAAUGGUGACAGCAAAGCACUGUGAUGUCACGUGGUCCUUAUAAAUAUAUACCAGAAACUAUGCACAAAGGACUACUUCACCUGCUGCUGAAUUUUUGAUGUUAUUUAAUAAAUCUC